GCGGGCGGCCCCGCGGUGCAUUGCUGUUGCAUUGCACGUGAGUGACGGGGGUGCAGUGCCUCGGCAGUGCAGCCCGGAGCCGGCCCCUGGCACC
Molecule: microRNA precursor, 94 nt
Filed under: Mustela putorius furo (domestic ferret)
Lineage: Eukaryota; Metazoa; Chordata; Mammalia; Carnivora; Mustelidae
Description: microRNA 33b (ENSMPUG00000022063.1)
Rfam family: mir-33 microRNA precursor family (bases 11-77)
Source: RNAcentral